This is a non-coding RNA of Cinara cedri, 529 nucleotides long. NCBI's taxonomy places the organism in Eukaryota, Metazoa, Arthropoda, Insecta, Hemiptera, Aphididae. The record is from the annotation of a GenBank genome assembly.
GUUUUCAGCGAGGGGAUGAUAUGUUACGGCCACGUGAGCAACGCGUAUAUAAUAUCAUAUUUAUAUAUAUAUAUAUAUAUAAUUAAUACGCUCCCCACGUAUAAAAUAAUAUCAGAGUCAUGGCGUAUUUAUUCGGUCACGCCUUUACUAGCUGUGACAUAAAACCGGAAAAUUACAAGGGGAAAUAAUUGAUAAUGCGGUAAAUACACGCGAACCGGCUUAACCAUAAAAAUUGAUAACCAACCUGUAAAAUUUCACUAUAAAAGUCACACACCCCUUUUGUGAACUAUCUAGACGGUACGAUUUUACUGGGAAAAUUUGACCAGAGAGCGUAAAAAUAUUUAAUAGUGAUUAUUGGUCCCAUAAUGUUUUACCCCACCUCCCUCCCCCUAUGGUCAAAUAACACGGGGACCAAUAAUUAUCACCGGAUUAUGCGUAUUGUUUGACGAAUCGUAAUAUUAUUGUAUUACCUAUACAGAAUUCCAGCCGGGCGUGUAUUCAAACAAUCUUUUAAUGAACUGCCGCUAGA